AACGAACGCUGGCGGCAGGCUUAACACAUGCAAGUCGAGCGCCCCGCAAGGGGAGCGGCAGACGGGUGAGUAACGCGUGGGAACGUACCUUUUGGUUCGGAACAACUCCGGGAAACUGGAGCUAAUACCGGAUAAGCCCUAACGGGGAAAGAUUUAUCGCCGAAAGAUCGGCCCGCGUCUGAUUAGCUAGUUGGUGAGGUAACGGCUCACCAAGGCGACGAUCAGUAGCUGGUCUGAGAGGAUGAUCAGCCACACUGGGACUGAGACACGGCCCAGACUCCUACGGGAGGCAGCAGUGGGGAAUAUUGGACAAUGGGCGCAAGCCUGAUCCAGCCAUGCCGCGUGAGUGAUGAAGGCCUUAGGGUUGUAAAGCUCUUUUGUCCGGGAAGAUAAUGACUGUACCGGAAGAAUAAGCCACGGCUAACUUCGUG
Molecule: ribosomal RNA, 431 nt
Filed under: uncultured bacterium
Lineage: Bacteria
Description: partial 16S ribosomal RNA
Rfam family: Bacterial small subunit ribosomal RNA
Source: RNAcentral